GUGGGGAAUCUUCCGCAAUGGACGAAAGUCUGACGGAGCAACGCCGCGUGAGUGAUGACGGCCUUCGGGUUGUAAAGCUCUGUGAUCGGGGACGAAUGGCUGGUAUGCUAAUACCAUAUCAGAGUGACGGUACCCGAAUAGCAAGCCACGGCUAACUACGUGCCAGCAGCCGCGGUAAUACGUAGGUGGCAAGCGUUGUCCGGAAGUAUUGGGCGUACAGCGCGCGCAGGCGGCUUCUUAAGUCCUUCUUAAAAGUGCGGGGCUUAAAACCGUGAUGGGAUGGAAACUGGGAGGCUGGAGUAUCGGAAAGGAAAGUAGAAUUACUAGUGUAGCGGUGAUAUGCGUAGAGAUUAGGAAGAACACCAGUGGCGAAGGCGACUUUCUGGGCGACAACUGACGCUGAGGCGCGAAAGCGUGGGGAGCAAACAGGAUUAGAAACCCUUGUAGUCC
This 450-nucleotide ribosomal RNA is filed under the name uncultured bacterium. Its description in RNAcentral is "partial 16S ribosomal RNA". It matches the Rfam family "Bacterial small subunit ribosomal RNA", at positions 354 to 796 of the family's 1533-position model. The record is from RNAcentral.